AGAGUUUGAUCAUGGCUCAGGACGAACGCUGGCGGCGUGCCUAACACAUGCAAGUCGUACGCGGUGGCUUGCCACCGAGUGGCGAACGGGUGCGUAACACGUGAGGAACCCACCCCGACGUGGGGGAUAACACCGGGAAACCGGUGCUAAUACCGCAUGUGCUCCCCUGACCGCAUGGUCGAGGGAGCAAAGCCUUCGGGCGCGACGGGACGGCCUCGCGGCCUAUCAGCUUGUUGGUGGGGUAACGGCCCACCAAGGCGACACGGGUAGCUGGUCUGAGAGGACGAUCAGCCACACUGGGACUGAGACACGGCCCAGACUCCUACGGGAGGCAGCAGUGGGGAAUAUUGCGCAAUGGGCGAAAGCCUGACGCAGGAACGCCGCGUGGAGGACGAAGGCCUUCGGGUUGUAAACUCCUUUCAGCAGGGACGAAACUGACGGUACCUGCAGAAGAAGCCCCGGCUAACUACGUGCCAGCAACCGCGGUAAGACGUAGGGGGCGAGCGUUGUCCGGAUUUACUGGGCGUAAAGAGCUCGUAGGCGGCUUGGCAAGUCGGAUGUGAAAUCACCAGGCUCAACCUGGUGUCGCCAUCCGAUACUCCAUGGCUUGAGUCCGGUAGAGGAUCGUGGAAUUCCUGGUGUAGCGGUGAAAUGCGCAGAUAUCAGGAGGAACACCAAUGUCGAAGGCAGCGAUCUGGGCCGGUACUGACGCUGAGGAGCGAAAGCGUGGGGAGCGAACAGGAUUAGAUACCCUGGUAGUCCACGCCCUAAACGUUGGGCACUAGGUGUGGGGCCUCAUUCGACGGGCUCCGUGCCGACGCUAACGCAUUAAGUCCCCGCCUGGGGAGUACGGCCGCAAGGCUAAAACUCAAAGGAAUUGACGGGGGCCCGCACAAACGGCGGAGCAUCGGCUUAAUUCGAUGCAACGCGAAGAACCUCACCUGGGCUUGACAUGGAGGGAAAAGCCGCAGAGAUGCGGUGUCCUUCGGGUCCCUUGCACAGGUGGUGCAUGGCUGUCGUCAGCUCGAGUCGUGAGAUGUUGGGUAAGUCCCGCAACGAGCGCAACCCUUGCCCUAUGUUGCCACGGGUCAUGCCGGGGACUCGUAGGGGACUGCCGGAGUUAAUUCGGAGGAAGGUGGGGACGACGUCAAGUCAUCAUGCCCCUUACGUCCAGGGCUGCACGCAUGCUACAAUGGCCGGUACAAAGGGUCGCCAACCCGCGAGGGGGAGCCAAUCCCAAAAACCGGUCUCAGUUCGGAUCGCAGUCUGCAACUCGACUGCGUGAAGUCGGAGUCGCUAGUAAUCCCGGAUCAGCACGCCGGGGUGAAUACGUUCCCGGGCUAGUACACACCGCCCGUCACACCACGAAAGUCGGCAACACCCGAAGCGGUGGCCCAACCCGCAAGGGAGGGAGCCGUCGAAGGUGGGGUCGGCGAUUGGGGUGAAGUCGUAACAAGGUAGCCGU
RNAcentral lists this ribosomal RNA (1465 nucleotides) under Acidimicrobium ferrooxidans. Its description in RNAcentral is "16S ribosomal RNA". It matches the Rfam family "Bacterial small subunit ribosomal RNA". RNAcentral also lists the same sequence under 1 other name. Lineage: Bacteria; Bacillati; Actinomycetota; Acidimicrobiia; Acidimicrobiales; Acidimicrobiaceae. The record is from RNAcentral.